This 301-nucleotide ribosomal RNA is filed under the name uncultured bacterium. Its description in RNAcentral is "partial 16S ribosomal RNA". It matches the Rfam family "Bacterial small subunit ribosomal RNA", at positions 509 to 807 of the family's 1533-position model. The record is from RNAcentral.
CAGUCGCCACGGGAACACGAAGGGGGCUAGCGCUGCUCGGAAUGACUGGGCGUAAAGGGCGCGUAGGCGGUCACGAUAGUCAGAUGUGAAAUUCCUGGGCUUAACCUGGGGACUGCAUUUGAUACUGUGUGGCUUGAGUGUGGAAGAGGGUCGUGGAAUUCCCAGUGUAGAGGUGAAAUUCGUAGAUAUUGGGAAGAACACCGGUGGCGAAGGCGGCGACCUGGUCCAUAACUGACGCUGAGGCGCGAAAGCGUGGGGAGCAAACAGGAUUAGAUACCCGAGUAGUCCCUGUCUCUUAUAC